This 22-nucleotide microRNA is filed under the name Magallana gigas (Pacific oyster). RNAcentral's name for it is "Mgi-Mir-10-P3_3p* (star (passenger))". Lineage: Eukaryota; Metazoa; Mollusca; Bivalvia; Ostreida; Ostreidae. The record is from RNAcentral.
ACAGGUUCUGGUUUCUGGACUA